AUAAACUCAAGCUGUUUGCUAGCUGCUUCCUCUCGGCCCCGACGACGUAGUGGUUCUUCUCGAAGGCUCUCUCCAGACGGAGGAGCUGGGAGGGAGAGAAGGCUGUCCGAAUGCGUUUGGGUUUUCUGGCGAAAGGACCGUGGAGGAGCAGGCUGUCCUGGGACACGUCGUUACCUGACACCACAUUCAAGGAAUACAACAAGGGCCGUCAGUUGGCUUUCAAAGGACGACCCGGAGUGACCUGGAUCGGUCGCCUCGCUGCUGGGAUGGAGGGCUAAUUACUGGCACCUGCUGGGCCUCGGCCCUCACCUUGACUAUGAAUGGGCGUCCACGUCAAAGGCCAGGGCUCCAGCUCAGCCUCUGACAGAUGGGCUGCCCAACUGCUGCCAACUGAUUUCCAUGCAAUAUUCAAGAUG
Molecule: long non-coding RNA, 416 nt
Organism: Etheostoma cragini (Arkansas darter)
Lineage: Eukaryota; Metazoa; Chordata; Actinopteri; Perciformes; Percidae
Exons: 3
Source: RefSeq, a predicted model, not a curated record